CACCGCCGCGGUAAAACGUAGGGUGCAAGCGUUAAUCGGAAUUACUGGGCGUAAAGCGUGCGCAGGCGGUUGUGUAAGACAGGUGUGAAAUCCCCGGGCUUAACCUGGGAAUUGCAUUUGUGACUGCACGACUAGAGUGUGUCAGAGGGGGGUGGAAUUCCACGUGUAGCAGUGAAAUGCGUAGAUAUGUGGAGGAACACCAAUGGCGAAGGCAGCCCCCUGGGAUAACACUGACGCUCAUGCACGAAAGCGUGGGGAGCAAACAGGAUUAGAUACCCCCGUAGUCCCUGUCUCUUAUACC
RNAcentral lists this ribosomal RNA (301 nucleotides) under uncultured bacterium. RNAcentral's name for it is "partial 16S ribosomal RNA". It matches the Rfam family "Bacterial small subunit ribosomal RNA", at positions 510 to 808 of the family's 1533-position model. The record is from RNAcentral.